GACGAACGCUGGCGGCGUGCUUAACACAUGCAAGUCGAACGGUGAUGCUCCAGCUUGCUGGCGUGGAUCAGUGGCGAACGGGUGAGUAACACGUGAGCAACCUGCCCCAGACUCUGGAAUAAGCGCUGGAAACGGCGUCUAAUACUGGAUACGAAACUGGCCCGCAUGGGCAUGGUUUGGAAAGUUUUUCGGUUUGGGAUGGGCUCGCGGCCUAUCAGCUUGUUGGUGAGGUAAUGGCUCACCAAGGCGACGACGGGUAGCCGGCUGAGAGGGCGACCGGCCACACUGGGACUGAGACACGGCCCAGACUCCUACGGGAGGCAGCAGUGGGGAAUAUUGCACAAUGGGCGCAAGCCUGAUGCAGCGACGCCGCGUGAGGGAUGACGGCCUUCGGGUUGUAAACCUCUUUCAGCAGGGAAGAAGCGAAAGUGACGGUACCUGCAGAAGAAGCACCGGCUAACUACGUG
This 467-nucleotide ribosomal RNA is filed under the name uncultured bacterium. RNAcentral's name for it is "partial 16S ribosomal RNA". It matches the Rfam family "Bacterial small subunit ribosomal RNA", at positions 28 to 507 of the family's 1533-position model. The record is from RNAcentral.